AGUUCAGGAUAACGGGAGUGACUGCACUUUUAUCGGACAAUGCACAAACAAGGCGGCUUGUACUGCACAAUGCGAACAAAAGUUCAAGAUUUCUGGGAUAUGCACUCCUUACAACAACCAAAUGGCUUGCUGCUGUCUUACAGGAUGAUUUGGAAGGAAGCUUGGCAGGCCUUUUGCUUCAUGCUUUUGGAGUCUUCAUAA
Molecule: long non-coding RNA, 201 nt
Filed under: Elaeis guineensis (African oil palm)
Lineage: Eukaryota; Viridiplantae; Streptophyta; Magnoliopsida; Arecales; Arecaceae
Description: long non-coding RNA (EGUI_LNC013592)
Source: RNAcentral